RNAcentral lists this ribosomal RNA (504 nucleotides) under uncultured bacterium. RNAcentral's name for it is "partial 16S ribosomal RNA". It matches the Rfam family "Bacterial small subunit ribosomal RNA", at positions 28 to 507 of the family's 1533-position model. The record is from RNAcentral.
GACGAACGCUGGCGGCGUGCCUAAUACAUGCAAGUAGAACGCACAGUUUAUACCGUAGCUUGCUACACCAUAGACUGUGAGUUGCGAACGGGUGAGUAACGCGUAGGUAACCUGCCUGGUAGCGGGGGAUAACUAUUGGAAACGAUAGCUAAUACCGCAUAAUAUUAAUUAUUGCAUGAUAAUUAAUUGAAAGGUGCAAUUGCACACCAACAGAUGGAACUGCGUUGUAUUUGGUAAUAGGUGAGGUAACGGCCCACCUAGGCGACGAUACAUAGCCGGCCUGAGAGGGUGAUCGGCCACACUGGGACUGAGACACGGCCCAGACUCCUACGGGAGGCAGCAGUAGGGAAUCUUCGGCAAUGGACGAAAGGCUGACCGAGCAACGCCGCGGGAGGGAAGAAGGGUUUCGGAUCGGAAAGCUCUGUUGUAAGAGAAGAACGGGUGUGAGAGUGGAAAGUUCACACUGUGACGGUAUCUUACCAGAAAGGGACGGCUAACUACGUG